RNAcentral lists this ribosomal RNA (429 nucleotides) under Verrucomicrobiota bacterium. Its description in RNAcentral is "Verrucomicrobia bacterium partial 16S ribosomal RNA". It matches the Rfam family "Bacterial small subunit ribosomal RNA", at positions 355 to 776 of the family's 1533-position model. The record is from RNAcentral. Lineage: Bacteria; Pseudomonadati; Verrucomicrobiota.
UAGGGAAUCUUCCGCAAUGGACGAAAGUCUGACGGAGCAACGCCGCGUGAGUGAAGAAGGAUUUCGGUUCGUAAAACUCUGUUGUUAGGGAAGAAAAAAUGUAUAGUAACUAUAUACAAAAGAGACGGUACCUAACCAGAAAGCCACGGCUAACUAAGUGCCAGCAGCCGCGGUAAUACGUAGGUGGCAAGCGUUGUCCGGAAUUAUUGGGCGUAAAGCGCGCGCAGGUGGUUUAGAAAGUCUGAUGUGAAAGCCCACGGCUCAACCGUGGAGGGUCAUUGGAAACUAAUAAACUUGAGUGCAGGAGAGAAAAGUGGAAUUCCUGGUGUAGCGGUGAAAUGCGUAGAGAUUAGGAGGAACACCGGUGGCGAAAGCGGCUUUUUGGCCUGCAACUGACACUGAGGCGCGAAAGCGUGGGGAGCAAACAGG